This 373-nucleotide long non-coding RNA is filed under the name Medicago truncatula (barrel medic). RNAcentral's name for it is "lncRNA gene23738". Lineage: Eukaryota; Viridiplantae; Streptophyta; Magnoliopsida; Fabales; Fabaceae. The record is from RNAcentral.
UAUACUGCUAAAAAAUCUGGCCUCUUUUGUAUGUGUUUGGCAACACAUUUUGAGGCUCCAAAUGUGUUUUACUAUUUUUCAAACGUCGUUUUAUCCUUAAACAUGUUGUUCGGAUGAAUGAAACGUGGUUUUUGUCUCAAACAUGGUUUUGCUGAAGCUCAGAUUCGUAACUUCUACAGAGGAAAAACGUGGUUUCAGCCUUUAAAGAUGAUGUGUGACAUGUUUAUCAUCCUAUUUUACCCUUGCUUUCUUUGUAAUUUGUUUUCAUAUUUUAAGAUCUGCAGCCUGCUUUAUUGUUGUUGUGACAAUAGGUUGAAGAAGAUGAUACAUGAGCUUUUUGUUAGGUUUAACUCACUGGCCCAUUAAAUUUAUC